This 24-nucleotide small RNA is filed under the name Paenibacillus sp. P22. The record is from RNAcentral. Lineage: Bacteria; Bacillati; Bacillota; Bacilli; Caryophanales; Paenibacillaceae.
GCCGACGGCCGUCGGCACGGUCGA